CGAACACAUCACGUUGAAACACCGGUUCUUGUACGGUCACCGAAGUUAAGCAGCGUCGUGCCUGGUCAGAACGAAAUGAGUGACCGCUUGGAAAUACCAGGUGCUGUAAG
Molecule: non-coding RNA, 110 nt
Organism: Acanthosepion pharaonis
Lineage: Eukaryota; Metazoa; Mollusca; Cephalopoda; Sepiida; Sepiidae
Source: the annotation of a GenBank genome assembly